CCUACGGGAGGCAGCAGUUGGGAAUCUUGGACAAUGGGGGAAACCCUGAUCCAGCCAUGCCGCGUGAGUGAUGAAGGCCUUCGGGUUGUAAAACUCUUUCGACGGGGACGAUAAUGACGGUACCCGUAGAAGAAGCUCCGGCUAACUUCGUGCCAGCAGCCGCGGUAAUACGAAGGGGGCUAGCGUUGUUCGGAAUUACUGGGCGUAAAGCGCGCGCAGGCGGCUAUCCAAGUCAGUGGUGAAAGCCCGGAGCUCAACUCCGGAACUGCCAUUGAAACUGUUUAGCUUGAGGACGAGAGAGGUGAGUGGAAUUCCCAGUGUAGAGGUGAAAUUCGUAGAUAUUGGGAAGAACACCGGUGGCGAAGGCGGCUCACUGGCUCGUAUCUGACGCUCAGGCGCGACAGCGUGGGGAUCAAACAGGAUUAGAUACCCUGGUAGUCCACGCCGUAAACGAUGAAUGCUAGCCGUUGGGUAGCUUGCUAUCAGUGCGCNGCACGCAUAAGCAUCCGUCCGUGGGAGGUACGGCCGCGAGGUAGAACGACGAAAGGUAAGUAGUACGGCGUUGAGACGUUGCCGACGGCGACGACGAGGGAGGUUAGG
Molecule: ribosomal RNA, 600 nt
Filed under: uncultured bacterium
Lineage: Bacteria
Description: bacterial SSU rRNA
Rfam family: Bacterial small subunit ribosomal RNA (bases 1-511)
Source: RNAcentral